RNAcentral lists this ribosomal RNA (292 nucleotides) under uncultured bacterium. RNAcentral describes it as "partial 16S ribosomal RNA". It matches the Rfam family "Bacterial small subunit ribosomal RNA", at positions 505 to 796 of the family's 1533-position model. The record is from RNAcentral.
GUGUCAGCCGCCGCGGUAAUACGUAGGUGGCGAGCGUUAUCCGGAUUUACUGGGCGUAAAGAGCGCGCAGGCGGUCGUGCAAGUCGGAUGUGAAAGCCCCCGGCUCAACUGGGGAAAGUCAUUCGAUACUGCUCGACUUGAAGGCGGGAGAGGGAAGCGGAAUUCCCGGUGUAGUGGUGAAAUGCGUAGAUAUCGGGAGGAACACCAGUGGCGAAGGCGGCUUCCUGGCCCGUUCUUGACGCUGAGGCGCGAAAGCUAGGGGAGCAAACGGGAUUAGAAACCCCUGUAGUCC